ACUGCAAAUCAUUUUGAAGACGUGUAUGUAGGUUCUGAAACGGAAUUCAUAGUGUUGCACAUAGACCCUGAUGUUGAUUAUCAAUUCAGAGUCUGCGCCCGAGGAGACGGCCAGCAGGAAUGGAGUCCUUGGAGUGUUCCCCAGACAGGUCACUCCACACUGGUGCCUCAUGAGUAGACAACUGGCUUUGAAGGAUACAGUCUGAGCAGUCGAAGGAAUAUAGCCCUCCGGAAAGAGUCCUCAGGCGUUCUCUACUCCAGUGCUCCAACUUACUUCUGUGGGCAGACGCUGACAUUCAGAGUUGAAACUGUGGGACAGCCCGACCGAAGAGACAGUAUAGGAGUGUGUGCAGAAAAGCAGAAUGGCUAUGAAUCUCUGCAGCGGGACCAAGCUGUGUGCAUCAGCACAAAUGGUGCAGUCUUUGUCAAUGGAAGAGAAAUGACCAAUCAGUUGCCUGCAGUUGCCUCUGGCUCCACUGUCGCGUUUGACAUCGAAGCUGUGACUCUAGGAACUUCUAACAGCCAUGAAGGUGGGAACGUCAAGCUCCGAGUGACCAUCAGCUCCAGUAACCGGGAUGUGGUGUUUGACUGGCUGCUUGAGCAGGCCUGCGGCUCUCUUUACUUCGGAUGCUCCUUUUUCUACCCCGGAUGGAAAGUGCUGGUAUUUUAGCAUUCGAAGGGCUUGGCUUUGGAGUGAGGGUUUUCUGUUUCUGUCCUCAGCUUAGUUGUCUCUCACUUUGAAAAGGUGAGCUUACCUCUCUGUCCACCAGAAAUGGAAUGUGUUGCUGGGUUGACCUUGUAAGAUUUUAGUAAGAAGUGAGCUGAACGGGGUGGACAAAACCAUAGCUCAGUUUUCUUUUUAGUACAAAUAUCAAACUAGCUUUAAAAGUGUGCAUACUUUUUUCCACUGUUCUUCUUAAAGUUGGCUGUUAGAACAGAAAGUGUCACAUUAGUAAAUCUUCAUCAAGAUUGAAGGCCAGAAGUAAACAACAGAAAAAGCCAGACUCCUCAGUGCUAGUCCAGUCCUGGGUGUUUGCUCCUCUCCACUCCCACCUCAUGAGUGUGCUGGCUUUGCUCCUGUGCUC
Molecule: RNA transcript, 1084 nt
Organism: Mastomys coucha (southern multimammate mouse)
Lineage: Eukaryota; Metazoa; Chordata; Mammalia; Rodentia; Muridae
Gene name: cytokine receptor-like factor 3 pseudogene
Exons: 1
Source: RefSeq, a predicted model, not a curated record